GAAAGUAAGCAAGGGCAGACGGUGGAUGCCUUGGCUCUCGGAGGCGACGAAGGACGUGAUAAGCUGCGAAAAGCCCGGGGGAGGCGCAAAUAGCCCUUGAUCCCGGGAUAUCCGAAUGGGGCAACCCGGCAGGCUGAAGGCCUGUCAUCCCGUAAGGGAGGCGAACGUGGGGAACUGAAACAUCUAAGUACCCAUAGGAGGAGAAAAUAAACAAUGAUUCCGUAAGUAGUGGCGAGCGAACACGGAAGAGCCCAAACCCAUGUCGUCUAGGCGACACGGGGGUUGUAGGACCACGACGUGGCAAGAUAGAGUCAAGUGGAACGCCUUGGAAAAGGCGGUCAUAGAGGGUGAAAACCCCGUACACGACUGACGAUUGAAGCCUAGUGGCAUCCUGAGUAGCGCGGGGCACGAGAAAUCUUGCGUGAAUUAGCGGGGCCCAUCCCGUAAGGCUAAAUACUCCCGAGAGACCGAUAGCGAACCAGUACCGUGAGGGAAAGGUGAAAAGAACCCCGAGCAGGGGAGUGAAAUAGACCCUGAACCCGUCUGCCUACAAGCGGUCGGAGCGUCGUAAUGACGUGACGGCGUGCCUUUUGCAUAAUGAACCUACGAGUUACCUUCCCCGGCAAGGUUAAGUACCUAAGGUACGGAGCCGAAGCGAAAGCGAGUCUGAACAGGGCGCCAAGUCGGGGGGGGUAGACGCGAAACCGAGUGAUCUACCCUUGGCCAGGUUGAAGGUUGGGUAACACCAACUGGAGGACCGGAUGGGUAAGCGUUGAAAAGCUUUCCAAUGAGCUGAGGGUAGGGGUGAAAGGCUAAUCAAACUCGGAGAUAGCUCGUACUCCCCGAAAUGCAUUUAGGUGCAGCCUCUUUAUAGUAUAUCGUGAGGUAGAGCGACUGAUUGGAUGCGAGGGCUUCACCGCCUAUCAAGUCCAGAUAAACUCCGAAUGCGCGAUAUAUAUUUAAAGGGAGUGAGGGCGCGGGUGCUAAGGUCCGUGUCCGAGAGGAGAAGAAUCCAGACCACCGGCUAAGGCCCCCAAAUGAUCGUUAAGUUGAACUAACGAGGUCGGAUCGCAGAGACAGCUAGGAUGUUGGCUUGGAAGCAGCCAUUCAUUUAAAGAGUGCGUAACAGCUCACUAGUCGAGCGAUCUGGCGUGGAUAAUAAUCGGGCAUAAACGAUCUGCCGAAGCCGUGGAUGUCGCAAGACAUGGUAGGGGAGCAUUCCAUGCCGCGUCGAAGAUGAGGGAUGACCCUUGUUGGAGCGCAUGGAAAAGCAAAUGUAGGUAUGAGUAACGAUAAGGGGGGCGAGAAACCCCCCCGCCGAAAGACCAAGGUUUCCUGAUCAACGCUAAUCGGAUCAGGGUGAGUCGGGACCUAAGGCAAAGCCGAACGGCGCCGCCGAUGGAAGAAUGGGUUAAUAUUCCCAUACUGCCUCAUGGAGUGACGUGGAGACGGAGAAGUGACAGUCCUGCCGGCUGACGGAAUAGCCGGUUGAAGGGUGUAGAUAUUGAUUCCCGUAGGCAAAUCCGCGGGGAGAGUCGAACCUGAGAGUAUACGGAGCGCUUGCGCAACGUAAUAUGGACGUAACCAUGCUCCCGAGAAAAUCCGCUAAACUUAUCCAUGCGGCACCCGUACCGUAAACGGACACACGUGGUCGGGUUGAGAAUACUGAGGCGCUCGAGUGAUUCACGGUUAAGGAACUAGGCAAAUUGACCCUGUAACUUCGGGAUAAAGGGUCCUCGUCGUAAGGCGAGGCGCAGAGAAUAGGUCCAGGCAACUGUUUAACAAAAACACAUGGCUGUGCUAAAUGGAAACAUGAUGUAUACAGCCUGACACCUGCCCGGUGCCGGAAGGUUAAGAGGAGAUGUCAUCCGCGAGGAGAAGCGUUGAAUUGAAGCCCCGGUAAACGGCGGCCGUAACUAUAACGGUCCUAAGGUAGCGAAAUUCCUUGUCGGGUAAGUUCCGACCUGCACGAAUGGUGUAAUGAUCUGGACACUGUCUCAACCGUGAGCUCGGUGAAAUUGUAGUA
Molecule: ribosomal RNA, 2026 nt
Filed under: metagenome
Description: bacterial LSU rRNA
Rfam family: Bacterial large subunit ribosomal RNA
Source: RNAcentral